UCGCUAGUAAUCGCGGAUCAGAAUGCCGCGGUGAAUACGUUCCCGGGUCUUGUACACACCGCCCGUCACACCAUGGGAGUCGGAAAUGCCCGAAGUCUGUGACCCAACCUUAGGGAGGGAGCAGCCGAAGGCAGGUCGGAUGACUGGGGUGAAGUCGUAACAAGGUAUC
Molecule: ribosomal RNA, 169 nt
Filed under: uncultured bacterium
Lineage: Bacteria
Description: partial 16S ribosomal RNA
Rfam family: Bacterial small subunit ribosomal RNA
Source: RNAcentral